RNAcentral lists this small RNA (824 nucleotides) under Pongo abelii (Sumatran orangutan). RNAcentral's name for it is "retained intron". Lineage: Eukaryota; Metazoa; Chordata; Mammalia; Primates; Hominidae. The record is from RNAcentral.
AAAACUGGGGUUGUUUCCUUGGGAAUUUCUGAUUUGUAUAUAGUGAUCAGGUUUCAGGCACUGAAUGUUACUUAUAUAUUAGGUAUUAAUUUUUUCUAAAUGGUAAUACCUGGGGAAAUUGGUGAAAUUUGUCUCUGUCCCACCAGAGGAAAUACUAUGUGAAGUAUGCCGGAAAACAUUUAAACGCAAAGAUUACCUUAAGCAACACAUGAAAACUCAUGCCCCAGAAAGGGAUGUAUGUCGCUGUCCAAGAGAAGGCUGUGGAAGAACCUACACAACUGUGUUUAAUCUCCAAAGCCAUAUCCUCUCCUUCCAUGAGGAAAGCCGCCCUUUUGUGUGUGAACAUGCUGGCUGUGGCAAAACAUUUGCAAUGAAACAAAGUCUCACUAGGCAUGCUGUUGUACAUGAUCCUGACAAGAAGAAAAUGAAGCUCAAAGUCAAAAAAUCUCGUGAAAAACGGAGUUUGGCCUCUCGUCUCAGUGGAUAUAUCCCUCCCAAAAGGAAACAAGGGCAAGGCUUAUCUUUGUGUCAAAACGGAGAGUCACCCAACUGUGUGGAAGACAAGAUGCUCUCGACAGUUGCAGUACUUACCCUCUGCUAAGAACUGCACUGCUUUGUUUAAAGGACUGCAGACCAAAGAGCGAGCUUUCUCUCAGAGCAUACUUUUCUUUAUUAAAAUUACUGAUGCAGAACAUUUGAUUCCUUAUCAUUUCCAUGGUCUUUGUUCAAAGUGUCUCUUUCCUGGGUCUCUUGAGUUUCUCUAUAUGCCUUCUCUUCAUUUUUGCUCAAAGCACGAAGAACACACAUUAAAGCUUUUCCUCGAA